This 521-nucleotide ribosomal RNA is filed under the name uncultured bacterium. RNAcentral describes it as "bacterial SSU rRNA". It matches the Rfam family "Bacterial small subunit ribosomal RNA", at positions 791 to 1314 of the family's 1533-position model. The record is from RNAcentral.
UAGUCCACGCCGUAAACGAUGGAUACUAGCUGUCCGGGCCCUUGUGGCCUGGGCGGCCAAGCGAAAGUGAUAAGUAUCCCACCUGGGGAGUACGUUCGCAAGAAUGAAACUCAAAGGAAUUGACGGGGGCCCGCACAAGCGGUGGAGCAUGUGGUUUAAUUCGAUGAUACGCGAGGAACCUUACCAGGGCUUAAAUGCAUACUGACAGGUCCAGAGAUGGAUUUUCCUUCGGGCAGUUUGCAAGGUGCUGCAUGGUUGUCGUCAGCUCGUGCCGUGAGGUGUCAGGUUAAGUCCUAUAACGAGCGCAACCCCUACCGUUAGUUGCCAGCAUUUAAAGAUGGGGACUCUAACGGGACUGCCGGUGCAAACCGCGAGGAAGGUGGGGACGACGUCAAAUCAUCACGGCCCUUACGUCCUGGGCCACACACGUGCUACAAUGGCCGGUACAGAGAGCAGCCAUGUCGCGAGGCAGAGCGAAUCUAUAAAACCGGUCACAGUUCGGAUCGGGGUCUGCAACCCCG